GAAGGAAUAUAUAGUAAUUUUUCACCAAUAAUUUAUAUGUAUCAAUGUGUAUAUACUACAUUAUUCUAACAGUGUUUAUGUAUACGGGUCUACCAACGUAGUUGUUCUACUAUACAACAAUGUACCCAGUGUACUUCUAUAAGUAGGGUUCCAAGAGUGUAGUGUGCGCACAACCCUACUCAGUCAAGAAUGCAAAACAGAUAUAAUAACGAACCAGUCAUACCGAAAAUAUUGAAGAAUAGAGUCGUAACGACAACAAAUUAUACCUAUCAUCUUCAUGCACACGGUGCCUUUGUUUCACCUCAUUGUGUGAAUGAUCUUGCAUCUCAUGUCUCAUCCCCUCCAAUGCAUAGCAAGUUGAGUCUAGUAGCCCCCGUACUAUGCAAAGUUAUCCAAUGGUUAGCUGCGGGACAGCUCGUGGCUCAAAUAAGUGUACCUUUAAAUGCUAUAUAGCUAAUCCUAUUGGAAUAAUAGUCAAGAGGUAUGAGAUAAGAGCGUUAGUAAAAAGAUCCAUUGGAAGCUUUUGAUGGUAAUUUGAGCUUUGACAUAUUUGAUAAAGAAGAUGGAAAUAAAGUCCUAGGCGAAUGCUUUGCUAAAGUGACUAGGGAUGGAGAUCUUUUGCCUGGGCAACAAAUUACGGGUUGCUAAACAUAUGUAUAUAUGUAUAACAUCUCAAUAAAAGGGGAAGUCCAGUGCACUAAAGCUCCCGCUAUACGCAGGUCCAGGAAAGGGCUCGACCACAAGGAUCUAUUAUAUGCAGCCUUACCUUGUGUGUCUGCUAGAGGAUGCUUGGUGAGUUGAUCAAGAUGAUAAAUGGAAAUUAAUCAAGCUGGGAAUCAAGUGGAAACAACACCACAAAGCUCGGGAUGAAAGGACAAACGCAUGGGACAAACAUUGUGCAAAGUUGGACAUUUUGAAGUCAUUGGCUUUAUUUGUUAUUUACUAACACGCAGUGCCCUUAGUGCAGAGAGAGGCAUAGAAAAAUUUACGACAACUAACUUGAUAUUUUCUUAUAUUGUCGUAGUUUCUCAGGUUCAUGAAGAUCUUGUUCAUGCACAGUAGGCAUAUAUUAUGUUUGAGUCCAGAGCCAAAAGGGCUCUAUUUUGACCAAAAAUUUCAAAGGGGAUACUUGAUUUGGAAAGAAAACGAAGGGAACAGAACGCGGGGGCUAAGUGACUUUGCAAGUUGCCCGGUGACCAACGGCUUGCAAGUUGCCUGAUGACCAGCAACUUGCAUGGCGUGAUUUCUAUCUGCAUGUGAGUUUCUUGGAAUACGUGAAGGCCUAUAUAAAUCCUCAAUUCUCAAAUGUAGAAACAUCUCUAUUUUCUGUGCAGAAACACUGUAAACAAAAAAAAAUCUUUUUAAAACUAUUCAAUCAAAAUUCAAAUUAAAUA
Molecule: long non-coding RNA, 1394 nt
Organism: Capsicum annuum
Lineage: Eukaryota; Viridiplantae; Streptophyta; Magnoliopsida; Solanales; Solanaceae
Exons: 2
Source: RefSeq, a predicted model, not a curated record